This 90-nucleotide unclassified non-coding RNA is filed under the name Pseudomonas vancouverensis. The record is from RNAcentral. Lineage: Bacteria; Pseudomonadati; Pseudomonadota; Gammaproteobacteria; Pseudomonadales; Pseudomonadaceae.
UGUGAGAGCGGGCUUGCCCGCGAAGGCGGUAGCUAAGUUGGCAUUUGUGUUGACUGACACGCCCCCAUCGCGGGCAAGCUCGCUCCCACA